UUCGACCUCAAAUCAGGUAGGACUACCCGCUGAACUUA
RNAcentral lists this ribosomal RNA (38 nucleotides) under Tomentellopsis sp. Beige/L1. RNAcentral's name for it is "partial 28S ribosomal RNA". The record is from RNAcentral. Lineage: Eukaryota; Fungi; Basidiomycota; Agaricomycetes; Thelephorales; Thelephoraceae. RNAcentral also lists the same sequence under 2 other names.